Long non-coding RNA from Eucalyptus grandis, 247 nucleotides. RefSeq lists it as uncharacterized. The record is from RefSeq and is a predicted model, not a curated record. The transcript has 3 exons. NCBI's taxonomy places the organism in Eukaryota, Viridiplantae, Streptophyta, Magnoliopsida, Myrtales, Myrtaceae.
CUAAUUAGAAACCCUAACGCUCGCUCGCCCUUGCUUUCCGAACACAACUUGGCUAGUAUUAGUCGCCACUCGCCACUCACCGCUAGCCUUGCUUAACGCUCGCCGCUCGCCGCUAGCCUCGCUCAACUCUUGCCGCUCGCCGGUUAACGCUCGCCCCACUCGAUGCUCGCACUUGCCGCUCACCACUCGCGCCGGUCGCCUUGCUUAUCGCCGAAGUUGGAUGUUCGAUUUGCUUUUUGUGAAGGAA